CCUACUGGAGGCAGCAGUGAGGAAUAUUGGUCAAUGGCCGUAAGGCUGAACCAGCCAAGUCGCGUGAAGGAAGAAGGAUCAAUGGAUCGUAAACUUCUUUUAUAGGGGAAUAAAUGUCUCCACGUGUGGCUAUUUCCAUGUACCCUAUGAAUAAGCAUCGGCUAACUCCCGGCCAGCCGCCGCCGUAAUACGGAGGAUUCGGACGUUAUUCGGAUUUUGUUGGUUUAAAGGGUUCGUAGGUUGUUUUUUAAGUCAGCGGUGAAAGUUUGUGGCUCAACCAUAAGAUUGCCGUUGAAACUGGAAGACUUGAGUGUGUUUGAGGUAGGCGGAAUGCGUGGUGUAGCGGUGAAAUGCAUAGAUAUCACGCAGAACUCCGAUUGCGAAGGCAGCAUACUAAGCCAUAACUGACACUGAAGCACGAAAGCGUGGGGAUCAAACAGGAUUAGAUACCCCUGUAGUC
This 460-nucleotide ribosomal RNA is filed under the name uncultured bacterium. Its description in RNAcentral is "partial 16S ribosomal RNA". It matches the Rfam family "Bacterial small subunit ribosomal RNA", at positions 338 to 795 of the family's 1533-position model. The record is from RNAcentral.